Molecule: long non-coding RNA, 402 nt
Filed under: Androctonus crassicauda
Lineage: Eukaryota; Metazoa; Arthropoda; Arachnida; Scorpiones; Buthidae
Source: RNAcentral
AAAUAAGUAAUCCUCGACUUCCAUGACAUUCGGUCUGAACCCCGUAAAUUUAUGCAUUCAGAAACCUAAAAUAUCUCAAAUUUAUGAAUUACCCACUAUCGAUAGUUUUUAUGACACAAUACGAUGUCAUAAUAAAUGUAGUGAACAUAUGAAUCACACACGAAAGGCCAGUAUACCACAUCAAGUGCACAUGUACUGGUGCGUGUGUGAAUUACAUUUACCAAUUACCGAACUUACCGAUUACAUCAUGGUCGUAAAUAUGAACGAUCGUAAUUCGAGGACUAUCCAAUGAUCAGUUAAGAUCGAUGAAUCGAUCACGGUUUAUAUUAUUCGAUUUUAGGUCUUUUUGAAAUCCGAAAAGAUCAAAAUCAGAUGAUUACGAUGCCAUUUAAUCUAGCGGAG